GACAGAGGGUGCAAACGUUGUUCGGAAUUACUGGGCGUAAAGCGCGUGUAGGCUGCUCUGAAAGUCGGAUGUGAAAGCCCUGGGCUCAACCUAGGAAGAGCACUCGAUACUACAGAGCUUGAGUCCUGGAGAGGAAGGCGGAAUUUACGGUGUAGCGGUGAAAUGCGUAGAUAUCGUAAGGAAGACCAGUGGCGAAGGCGGGUCUCUGGACAGUUCCUGACGCUGAGGCACGAAGGUCAGGGGAGCAAACGGG
RNAcentral lists this ribosomal RNA (253 nucleotides) under uncultured bacterium. RNAcentral describes it as "partial 16S ribosomal RNA". It matches the Rfam family "Bacterial small subunit ribosomal RNA", at positions 524 to 776 of the family's 1533-position model. The record is from RNAcentral.